Molecule: ribosomal RNA, 493 nt
Filed under: uncultured bacterium
Lineage: Bacteria
Description: partial 16S ribosomal RNA
Rfam family: Bacterial small subunit ribosomal RNA
Source: RNAcentral
AUUGAACGCUGGCGGCAUGCCUUACACAUGCAAGUCGAACGGUAACAGGUUAAGCUGACGAGUGGCGAACGGGUGAGUAAUAUAUCGGAACGUGCCCAGUAGUGGGGGAUAGCCCGGCGAAAGCCGGAUUAAUACCGCAUACGACCUACGGGUGAAAGGGGGGGAUCGCAAGACCUCUCGCUAUUGGAGCGGCCGAUAUCAGAUUAGGUAGUUGGUGGGGUAAAGGCCUACCAAGCCUGCGAUCUGUAGUUGGUCUGAGAGGACGACCAGCCACACUGGGACUGAGACACGGCCCAGACUCCUACGGGAGGCAGCAGUGGGGAAUUGUGGACAAUGGGCGCAAGCCUGAUCCAGCAAUGCCGCGUGCAGGAAGAAGGCCUUCGGGUUGUAAACUGCUUUUGUCAGGGAAGAAAUCCUCUGGGUUAAUACCUCGGGGGGAUGACGGUACCUGAAGAAUAAGCACCGGCUAACUACGUGCCAGCAGCCGCAGUAA